GGAAGUAAAAGUCGUAACAAGAUUUCCGUAGGUGAACCUGCGGAAGGAUCAUUCAUAAUAAAGUGUUUUAUGGCACUUUUUAAAAAUCUAUAUCCACCUUGUGUGCAAUGUUAGAUCUCGUCAAUCUUGGCGAGAUUUUCAUACAUCAACUCAUUCUUUAACUAAUUUGUCUGAAAAGUAUUAUGAAUACUUAAUUCAAAAUACAACUUUCAACAACGGAUCUCUUGGCUCUC
This 233-nucleotide unclassified non-coding RNA is filed under the name plant metagenome. Its description in RNAcentral is "partial contains small subunit ribosomal RNA, internal transcribed spacer 1, and 5.8S ribosomal RNA". The stretch from base 1 to 54 matches the Rfam family "Eukaryotic small subunit ribosomal RNA", at positions 1778 to 1831 of the family's 1831-position model. The record is from RNAcentral.